UGAGUAACCUGCCCUUCACUCUGGGAUAACUCCGGGAAACCGGGGCUAAUACUGGAUAUGACUCGAACAGGCAUCUGUUUCGGGUGGAAAGAUUUAUUGGUGGAGGAUGGACUCGCGGCCUAUCAGCUUGUUGGUGAGGUAAUGGCUCACCAAGGCGACGACCGGUAGCCGGCCUGAGAGGGCGAUCGGCCACACUGGGACUGAGACACGGCCCAGACUCCUACGGGNGCA
RNAcentral lists this ribosomal RNA (231 nucleotides) under uncultured bacterium. Its description in RNAcentral is "partial 16S ribosomal RNA". It matches the Rfam family "Bacterial small subunit ribosomal RNA", at positions 118 to 347 of the family's 1533-position model. The record is from RNAcentral.